GCAACUUGAGGACGAGGAUAAAGCUAUACUCUUGUUGUGUGCUCUACCGAAAUCUUUUGAAUCGUUCAAAGAUACCAUGCUCUAUGGCAAGGAAGGCACUGUUACCUUGGAAGAAGUUCAAGCGGCUUUGAGAACCAAGGAGUUGACCAAGUCCAAGGACUUGACUCAUGAAUACGGUGAUGGCCUAAGUGUCACAAGAGGGAAUGGUGGAGGUAGAGGUAACCGGAGAAAGAGUGGAAACAAGUCAAGGUUUGAAUGCUUUAACUGUCACAAGAUGGGUCACUUCAAGAAGGAUUGUCCGGAGGUUAAUGGUAACUCAGCACAAAUUGUCUCUGAGGGUUAUGAGGAUGCGGGUGCUCUGAUGGUGUGGUGUUGUUUGGAGGAUGAAGAAGGUGAUGUGUCUCACCUUGGGAUUGAUGCCUAGUGGAGCGGUGGUCGUCUGGAGAGACGUUAAACACUCAACAUCAGCCUGGAGAGGCGGUGGUAAGUGUAACACCCCGUUUUCCCAACGUGAAAAUUUCAUUUAUUUAAUCAGAGUAAUUCACACAAACGGAAUGCUACACUUCUUUUCUUAAAAUCAUAAACUGAAUAAAUAACUAUUUAUCCUUUAAAAUUCAAUAACUAAAAAGUCUUUAAUACUUCGCAGCGGACAUUAUUCAAUAAUCAAAACAGUCUUUGGCACAAGGCCUCAUCAUUAAUAUCUCAUACAAAUUUGAUCAACAUCUUAUUCAUGAAAAUUCUUUGAGCAAUACGUAAGGAAUAGAAAGACAACAUUAAAAUUCCUAUCCCGUUACGUAUUAGAGCACCUAAAGACACACAUGAGAGCUAAUCCACUCACAACAGCAACUUAAACUCGAUCACCUGCAAGUUACUCAUACGAAGAGCAACAUUUUCAAGUAGAAGGGGUGAGAUUUCACAAAACAAUAAUAUCAAGCAUAUAAUUCAAUAAUUAUAUUUAACAACACGAAUAACUUCAUCUAUUAGUAAUAAUAAUUCUUCACGUAUAAUUCUUAAUAGUCCAACCAAUUUCUAUUUAUCAUUUACUUCAUAUUCACCACAUUAUAACAUAAUCAUAUAACACGUAUUAACCAAAUCAUAACAACAUAGAUCAUCACAUCAUACUCAUAGUUCAUAUAUAACAUAACAACAUCUUAAUUAAUUCAUAUACAACAUAACAACAUCAUUAAUUCAUAAUAAUAAUUAUUCAUCAACCAUCUCAUUAUCAUUUCUUGAAUAAAAGACAACUUAUCAACUUAACAUAAACAUCAUCAAGUACAUUUAACAACUCAUAGAUAAUAUCAUGUAAUCAUCAUCUCCCUAUAAUAAUAAUCAUAUACGACCCAACAUAAUCAUCAUCUUAUAAUAUAUAACAACAACAUAUUUAUCAUUUUAUAUUAAUAUAACAACACGUACUAACACCAUAAUCAACAUCAUAAAUCUUCAACAUAAUCAUCUUAAACAAUAGCAUCUUUGAUAAACAAUUAUCAAGUAAUCACAACAUUCGAUCAUCAUCAAUAACAUAACAUAAUAUUCACUUAAUAAUAAUUAAUCAUAUAUGGAACAACAUAUUCAUCACUUAAUAAUAACAAUUAUAUACAUCAUCAUAAUAACUUAACAAUAUCAUAAUCAACAUCUUACACAACAUAGCAACAUAUCAAUAUCAUAACCAACAUCUUAAACAACAUAGCAACAUAACAAUAUCAUAAUCAUUAUCUUAAAUAACAUAGCAACGUAACAAUAUCAUAAUCAACAUGUUAAACAACAUAGAAAUAUCAUAAUCAAUAUCUUAAACAACAUAGCAACGUAACAAUAUCAUAAUCAACAUGUUAAAUAACAUAGCAACAUAACAAUAUCAUAAUCAACAUGUUAAAUAACAUAGCAACAUAACAAUAUCAUAAUCAUUAUCUUAAAUAACAUAGCAACGUAACAAUAUCAUAAUCAACAUGUUAAACAACAUAGCAACAUAACAAUAUCAUAUAAUUCACAUCAUAAACAUCGUAUAAUCUUCGUAUGUACUUCUUUAACAACAUAUAGGUAGAAGACAACUCGACAACUCAGAUGAUAAUUCAUCGACAACUUAACAACUCAUGGAUGAUAAUUCAUCAACAACGACCUUGACUCGACAAAUGCGACAAUGCAACUUAGACACUUAUAUGCAUGUGGUACCAAUCGUCAUCAUAAGUAUUAAUAUAUUUUCAUCGUGCGGAGGACAAAGCUCCUAAAACGUGCGGAGGACAAAGCUCCUAAUCGUGGUGAGGACAAAGCCCAAUGAAAUGUUAUGCAUGGACUCUUAACAACAAAACACCGUAAUCAUCGUAAUCAACAUAUUAUCAUGCAUCCAAUAAUUUGGAGCUAAACGUCAUCAACUUAUUCAUACUCUUGCAACUUAGUUAAAUAACAAUUGCAGCAUAAUUAAAUCACAUCAAGUUAAAUAACAAAUCAUUCUCGAAAGUUUCUUGAUCAUUCAACAAGAAUUCAAGUAGGUAUAAUUCAAUCCAUAAUUCACUUCUUAAUCAUUUAACAAUUCAUUUUAACAACAUCUUGAUCAUUCAAUAAUAUUUCGAGUAAUGCAUUUAAUCAUUAAAUCACAUUACAAACAACUUAGCAGUUCAUAACAACAACAGAAACAGCACAAGCAAUUCACAACAUAGCAAUAUUAAUAUGAAGUAUCAACAACUUAAACAUCAUACAUCUUCCACAUAAGUCAUAUAAAUAUUUCACAUAACCAACAAUAGCAACAUAGGCAACAUGUAAACAUCUCAAGAUAUAACAAUAUCAAAUGAUAAUCAACAACAACUCAUGCAACUUAGUUUAACAACAAUUGCAGCAUAAUCAAUUCAUAUCAAGCUUAAUAACAAUUCAUUUCAACAUCUUGAUCAUUCAAUAAUAUUUCAAGUAAUGCAUUUAAUCAUUAAUUCACAGUAUAUAAUAUUUUCUCAUUAAUCAUAUCAUCAAAGUAAAUCAUAUUCAUCACAACAACAAAAUAGCAUCAAUCAAUAAUGAUAAUCAUCAUAUAUAACAAUUACAAAUGCACGUCAUCAACAUCUCAAUCAUCAAACAUAAUUCAUGCAAUAUAUAUCUAAUUAUAUAACAUUAUAAAUAUCAUCAAAUCAUCUUAAUCAUUAUCUAAGGUCUAAGGACAGUUUCUACAUCUUUUUAACAAGUUUCCACCGUUUAUUCAUUAAUUCUACAAUUUUAACCUACUUUUCAAUUCCUCAAAAACUCAUCCUACAUCAUGUUAAACUUAACCAUUGAUUCACAUACUUAAUAGAAUUGCAAAGUUAGUCUCACCCUUACCUUGGAUUGAUCGACGAAGAACUAUACCGCUUUCUCUCCUUUAAAAGGACAUUAAACAUAAGAGGGAUUAUAGUCUUAAGAACACUUUUAAUUCCGAAGGGACAGAAAGGAGUAGAAAAAGAAGAAAGACUCGUCAACACAAGUCAAAAGAGGGAGAAGAGAAGAAAAGCACAGGAAGCAUCAACUGUGAAUUUCGGUGUGUAGAAUGCACUGUGUGAGUUCUCUAUUUAUAGAGAUAAUUUACAACUAAUAAGUGAGAAACUUUGGAAACAAGUAAUGCACCUAUUGUUGGAACAAAAUGUGUUUCACAAUGAACCUUAUUGAGUUUUGAUGAUAACAAGGUAUUAAAAAUUGUCAAUUGGUUAUUACUAAUUAUUGUUCAAGUGUACAGGACCAAAGGCUAGUCAAGUAAUUUCAACAGGUUCUGGAAGAACAAUGAAAAGCAAAAAGAAUUCCAAGCAUCUGAAGAAAACCGCUCCUGAAGUUCAAAGUGCUUCUGAAGUGAUGACGUCAUCAGAAGCAGAAGGUCAUCAGAAGCAAAGUUUUUCAUCAGAAGCUAUAUCAUCACCAGAAGCUACAUUUAAUCCAUAUAUUCAAACUGAAGAUCCAAAGUAGCUGUUUCUUAUUUCAACCUUAUCUAGAAGAACGAAGAAUUGAAAGGGAGGUAUCAACGGUCAUUUGGAUAGCUCUGAGCAUUUGUCCUACGUUAACAGAGUUGACAAAGUACAAGUGUACAACCACUACCUCCACUACUCUGUUUUGUCCACGCUACAAGACAAGACAACAGCUAUGCCUGCAGAAUAUGUGCCUUCAAGAUGGGAAUGAAUUUGAAGCUAAUUCUUCAAAGGACUACACCCAAAUCAGGCAAAGGAUUACUGGUGGAUGAUUAAAUGAUUUCAAACGACUCUUUAGACGUGCUGAUUAUCUCAACGUCUCUUUCACACCUCUAUAUAAAGGAGUGAAGACUUGAAGAUGAGAUAUAGAGAUAUACAAGUUAAAAAGCUCCAAAACUCUGUCAAAUUGAUUCUACAAAGCACACUGAAUUUAUGCACUGAUUUGAUACAUCUUAGAAAUUCAAAGUCUAGAGUCUUUAUUGUAUUGUAUUAAGAACACCACUGAUUGUAUAUCAAGUGUUCAAGUCAAACUCAAUUCUCUGUAUUUUUGUUUGAUUAGAAGUCUCUUGCCUGCGUGCUUGAGCAUUAGAAGUCUCUUGCUUAGUUCUUGAGCAUUGGAAGACUCUUGCGUGUGUGCGUGAGCAGUUUUGUGAAGUCUCAUACUUUGAUAGUAUUGAGCAUUUGUAAUCUUUGUGAUUAUAGUGAAAUCUCCUUGGAAGUGCAAGGGGGACUGGACUACUUCCGUGUUGUGAAAGGAACCAGGAUAACUGCUUGUGUCUUUGUCUUUCUUUUCUCUGCUCUGUUCUUUCCGCUGCAUAUCUGAUUCUGAUCAUUUCAUCAGAAGCACUCACAGUCUGCUUCUGAAGGUUUAUCAGAAGAAGAAUUUUUAGAGAGAAGAAGAAAACACAAUUCAACCCCCCCCCCCCCCCCCCCCUUCUUGUGUUUUUCUCACCUUCACCUAUUAGAUCUAGUAAUUAAAUAUAUCAAUUGAGUACCAAAAUAUAUUAUAUUAAGUACAAAAAUAUAUUAUUCAGUACAAAAAUAUAUUAGAUUGCCUACCAAAAUCUCAAUAUUCUAUUCUAAUAUAUAUAUAUAUAUAUAUAUAUAUAUUUAUAUAUAAAAUAUUUCUAUAACAAUAAUAAAUAACAAAUAUAUCUCUAUAAAAUAUAUAUAUUUUCAUAAUAAAUCAUUUAUAUUUUCUACAGCAAAUGACAUAUAUUUCUUCAGCAAAUCAUACAUAUAUUUCUAUAACAGAAUAUAUAUAUUUCUACAACGAAUCAUACAUAUUUCUAUAAUAAUUAACGUUUAUUUCUAUAACAAAUCACAUUUAUUUCUGCAACAAAUCAUAUAUAUUUUUAUAAUAAAUAACGUUUAUUUCUAUAACAAAUCAUAUUUAUUUCUGCAACAAAUCAUAUAUAUUUUUAUAAUAAAUAACGUUUAUUUCUAUAACAAAUCACAUUUAUUUCUAAAACAAAUCAUGUAUAUUUCUAUAACGAAUCAUAUAUAUUUCUGAACCGAAUAACAUAUAUACAUUUCUAAAUCAAAUAACAUAUAUUAUAUUUCUAAAUCAAAUAGCAUAUAUAUUUCUAAAUCAAAUAGCAUGUAUAUAUUUAUCUAAAUCAAAUAACAUAUAUAUUAUAUUAAUAAAUAUAUAACAUAUAUCAUAACAAAAUAUCACUCAUCAAAAUAAAUCAUAUAAAUCACACAAAUCAUAUAAGUAUAUUCUAAACUCAUUUAAAAUAAUCAAAUAAUUAGAGAGGGCGUUACAGUAAGAAUACUCAUGAUCUACCUGUUGAGGUGGAGUUUCAAGGUUGAAGACAUAGUGGGAUGUACGCAUUUGCUAGUUGAGGUAGAGUAUGCUCAGCGUGAGGUGGAGUUGAACUCACCGGUAAUGGUACGACUAUGAAGACCUUGGGUGCUAUGCUCUAUGGUGAGCAAGGGAUUUCUUCAUGAAGUUGGAGAAUGUGUAGCACGGCUUGCGAGAUUACUCUAAAAGAAUGCCAAGGGUGAUUGGAUGCAAGGUGAUCUUCAAGGAAGCGGAAGAUGUUAUGCGUUGAAGACGGUAUGGUGAAUGCUUGUGGGACUACCUAAAACUCCUAGUGUAGUUGGACUGCAAGGACCUUCGAGAAGGCGGAAGAUAUUCCGAUGGCUGAAGUGGUUGAGGUGUAUACUUGUGGAUUACUCUAAAAGCCAAGGGUGAUUGGGUACAAGUAGAUCUUCAAGGAAAGCGGGAGAUAUCUCGUAUUGAAGAGGUUAUGGUAUAAGUCUUGUAGAACUACCUGAAAUUCCUAGCGUAGUUGGACUACAAGCAUCUUCGAGAAGGCGGAAGACAUUCCGAUGGCUGAAGAGGUUGAGGGUGUAAACUUGUGGAGCUACUUGGAGUAGUGGGAAGCAAGGGUUUGAGCAGCAAGGAGGUUGAUGAUCGGCAUCAUCACUGAUUUGAAGUCAAGGUGGAGAAUUGUGAGAGUUAACUUAAAAUCAGGUUUCUGCACAAUCGUAGCACGACGGCUGGGCUUCGCGGCACGAUGGAGGUUUUAGUUUUUUGGGCAAGGCACUGGAAAAAUCGUGGCACGAUGGGGUCGCAUCGUGGCACGAUGGUGCGCUGGCGGAUAAAAAUAAAACAUAUUUUUGGGAGCAGAUUUGUUACAGUUUUUGUUACAAAUUUGUUACAAAUUUUAGGCAGAUUUGUUAUAGAUUUUAAGCAGGACUUUUACUAUAAAUAUAGACCUUGUAUCAAAGCAAACUGAAAGAGAGUAGAGAUUGAGAUAGAGAGAAACACUAUUAGGAUUGGAGUCUCUUGGUUACGGAAGAGAUUGGGACUUUGGGUAGAAUUAGGCGGGAGACUUAUUCUUGUAACCCAUUGAUUUUUCUUUGUAACGUUACUCAUCAAAUAGUGGAUCGGAGGGCUGCUCUCUCCCCCAGACUAGGUCAGAUUAGACCGAACUGGGUCAACAAAUUCUUUGUGUUCUUCUUCUUCUUUUGUUCUUCUCGCCGUUGUUUUCUACUUUUGGCUUGUAUUUAAUUGUUCCAUACGCUUUGAUUUUGGUUGCUUAAUUAUCCCUUGCUCCACACAUCAAGUUGUUAUUGGUGUGAUUUUGAUCGAAUUCACAACAAAAAGAAAAAGAAGAUGAAGGUAUAAAAGUGUAGGUGACAACAAAGAAAAAGACUUCAUUUGGUUUAGAAGAAAGUGUGUAUGGUUUAUGCUAUUUAGUUUUGUGGGAAUUGAGAGAAAGCAUAUGCAUUUAAAUACCG
This 7163-nucleotide long non-coding RNA is filed under the name Medicago truncatula (barrel medic). Its description in RNAcentral is "long non-coding RNA (MTRU_LNC002930)". The stretch from base 6721 to 6783 matches the Rfam family "MIR5285 microRNA precursor family". Lineage: Eukaryota; Viridiplantae; Streptophyta; Magnoliopsida; Fabales; Fabaceae. The record is from RNAcentral.